This is a long non-coding RNA of Brassica napus (rape), 671 nucleotides long. RefSeq lists it as uncharacterized. Lineage: Eukaryota; Viridiplantae; Streptophyta; Magnoliopsida; Brassicales; Brassicaceae. The transcript is spliced from 2 exons. The record is from RefSeq and is a predicted model, not a curated record.
UUUAAUAGAUAAGAUGCGGAGAAUAUGGUAAUAACGUUGACAUUUUUUCAACAAAAAAAAACUAUAUUCUUUGAUAGCUCAUAUGACUUUUUCAGGUUACUGCAUGUGAUUAAAUUAAGAUUUGAACAAUAUAUUUACUUUGACCAAAUUUACAAAAUAACUUAAUUGGUCAAAUAUAUAAAUGAAUAUCCCAAAUUUGCAUGUAUCGAAUAGAAGAUCAAUUAAAAUCAAAUCAAAUAGAAAUGGAAAUUUGUGAUUUUCCACGACUAAAACUUAUAUAAAUAGAGCUUUUCUACAAGACAUGAAAAAUUAAGGAUAUUUCUCAUGCUAUAGAUAUUUUAUACAUAAGAAAGAUUAUGGCGAAGACACAAAAUUUGGUGAUUUUUUCUCUUGUUGUGAUAUUAGCAGCUACAAUAUUUAACACCAACAUUUUGGUUUCAGGUGUGGAGCAGGAGAAUAAAAUCAAGUAUACUUACUGCGCUAAGACUUUAUGCUCGGACAGCUACUUACCUCAUAUGUGCUUUUUUGAUUGUACUACUAAAGGGUUUGAAACCGGAACUUGUAUAGUUCCUACUCCUAAUACUCCCUUAAGAUGUUGUUGUGGUACCUUGUAGCCAUCAUCUACCUAAUAUAAUCUGCCUAAUAUAAUAAAAUGAUUUAAGAGCUUCGUU